RNAcentral lists this ribosomal RNA (402 nucleotides) under uncultured bacterium. Its description in RNAcentral is "bacterial SSU rRNA". It matches the Rfam family "Bacterial small subunit ribosomal RNA", at positions 355 to 774 of the family's 1533-position model. The record is from RNAcentral.
UGGGGAAUAUUGGACAAUGGGCGAAAGCCUGAUCCAGCCAUGCCGCGUGAGUGAUGAAGGCCCUAGGGUUGUAAAGCUCUUUUAACGGGGAAGAUAAUGACGGUACCCGUAGAAUAAGCCCCGGCUAACUUCGUGCCAGCAGCCGCGGUAAUACGAAGGGGGCUAGCGUUGCUCGGAAUCACUGGGCGUAAAGCGCACGUAGGCGGACUCUUAAGUCGGUGGUGAAAUCCUGGAGUUCAACUCCAGAACUGCCUUCGAUACUGGGAGUCUCGAGUUCGGGAGAGGUGAGUGGAACUGCGAGUGUAGAGGUGAAAUUCGUAGAUAUUCGCAAGAACACCAGUGGCGAAGGCGGCUCACUGGCCCGAUACUGACGCUGAGGUGCGAAAGCGUGGGGAGCAAACA